Prosopis cineraria is the source of this 1877-nucleotide RNA transcript. It is a transcript of the gene named zinc finger CCCH domain-containing protein 25-like, with no coding region annotated. The transcript has 5 exons. The record is from RefSeq and is a predicted model, not a curated record. NCBI's taxonomy places the organism in Eukaryota, Viridiplantae, Streptophyta, Magnoliopsida, Fabales, Fabaceae.
CCGACCCGUUCCCUGUCCGCUUCCGCUCUCCAGGGACAGCGAAGGGAUUUCGGGACAAUAAUCGGUUGUCCCUUCCUUGGGCUGGAGCUACCCCUUUCAACCUCUUCGAGGUUCGCCGAGAGGCUUGUUGAAUCAAAGUAGGUAAAGAACCAAGGAAGAAGGGAUCUUUGAACAAGUUCAGAUUUGAGCAUGGCGCAUAGGUUGCUGAGGGACCAUGAAGCAGAUGGCUGGGAGCGAUCUGACUUUCCUAUUAUCUGUGAAUCAUGCCUGGGUGACAACCCAUAUGUUCGUAUGACCAGAGCUGACUAUGAUAAGGAGUGCAAGAUUUGUACACGGCCAUUCACUGUUUUUAGAUGGAGACCUGGUCGAGAUGCAAGAUAUAAGAAAACUGAGAUCUGCCAAACGUGUAGUAAAUUGAAAAACGUUUGUCAAGUCUGUCUUCUAGAUCUUGAGUAUGGAUUGCCAGUUCAAGUCCGGGACACUGCUCUUAGCAUUAGUUCCCAUGAUGUUAUUCCAAAGAGUGAUGUUAAUCGGGAGUAUUUUGCUGAAGAACAUGAUCGCAAGACUCGAGCUGGCUUGGAUUACGAAUCCUCAUAUGGAAAAGUACGCCCAAAUGAUACUAUUUUGAAACUUCAAAGGACAACACCAUACUACAAAAGAAACCGUGCUCAUAUUUGCAGUUUCUACAUAAGGGGUGAGUGUACCAGAGGAGCUGAAUGCCCUUAUAGGCAUGAGAUGCCAGUGACUGGGGAGUUGUCACAACAAAAUAUCAAAGAUCGUUAUUAUGGGGUGAACGAUCCUGUGGCGUUGAAGUUACUUGGCAAGGCUGGAGAGAUGACCUCUCUGGAGCCUCCAGAGGAUGAGACCAUUAAAACUCUCUAUGUUGGUGGGCUUGAUGCUAGGGUUAGUGAGCAGGAUCUGCGUGAUCACUUUUACGCCCAUGGUGAAAUAGAAUCCAUCAAGAUGGUGCUCCAACGGGCUUGUGCUUUUGUAACCUACUCAACCAGAGAAGGUGCAGAAAAAGCAGCUGAAGAGCUCUCCAACAAGCUAGUUAUCAAAGGCCUAAGGUUGAAGCUAAUGUGGGGCAGACCUCAGACAUCGAAACCAGACUCCGAAAGUUCCGAUCAAGCGAGGCAGCAGGCAUCUGUGGCUCAUAGCAGGUUGUUGCCUCGAGCUGUCAUAUCACAGCAGCAGAACCAGGAUCAAACCCUGGGGGUGCAUUACUAUAACAUUCCACCUCCUCCUCAGCAAGAUAGAAGCUACUAUCCAUCAAUGGAUCCUCAAAGAAUGGGUGCUGUUAUUCCAUCCCAAGAUGCUGGUCCUCCUGUUGGGGCCUCUGGGACAGGAGAGAACAACAAACCCAACAUGGAGAAGCAGCAAAUGCAGCAUUUUGCCCAUCCAAUGAUGCCUCCACCACCUGGGCAAUAUCACCAUCAUCAGUAUUAUCAGCCUCCACCGUACAGUUAUAUGCCACCUGUACCUGCUUAUCAACAGUACCCACCACCUUACAACCCUGGGAUGGCUACAUCUCAGCCACCACCAGCGGUAAAUCAGCCGUAUCAGCAAUCUAUGCAGCCAGGAUCAUCUGCUCCCUCAGCAUCUGCACCAGCUGCACUGGCAGAAGCAGGAACAUCAACCUCGGCCUCACAGUAGCAAGGAAAUUUCUCAUAUGCUGAUGUUCAUCUAUCUGCUUUUUUCCUGCUUAAACCAGAUGUUUUGUGAUUUAAUUUUGUGCAUUGAAUAUUCAAGUUGCUUGGGAAUCAUGCAAGGGUAUUUCUUUUUCUUUGAUGGCUCGCCAAGACAAUGAAACUACUAACUUGUUGGCAGUGAUGGGUUCUAGAAGGAUGUGUCCUGUUGGAUGGCUUUUAGAAGCUACA